UAGCGCAGGACUGCUGUGCUUUCAGGAGCACGGCCGUUUUCGAUAAUAAAAUUUCUGAAUCGACGAUCGGUUCUGCUAGAUUUGAUCUAGCGUAUUUGAAGUUUCUAGAAAAUAAUUUUUGAGAUUUUUUGAUAUCAUUUAUCUAGCAAUCGAAAGGAUUCAAAAUCUACAAUUUUUAUCAAACCAUUUCAAAAUUAUCAAACCAUUUCAAAACUAUCAAACCAUUUCAGACUUGAUCUAGCCUUACUUUAUGAUCAAACCAUUUCAAAAUUAUCAAUUUUCAAUGGCUACUAUGACAAGUUUGGAGUUUAACGGUCUAGGAGAAUCUAAAUUUCUUCAAAUUUUGAUAUAGAAAAUACUUUAAACUAUCUAGAUUAAUGUUAAUAUUCUUGAUCUUGAAUUUAAAAGUCCUGUACUCAAAUUUUAAAGAUUAUUCAAUUUUCACCGUCCAUUUUGACAUAAUUUAUUUACUAAGUAAACGAUGUCGAAAAAAACUAAAAUUUUAUUCCUAAGAACUUUAUAUACCCUAGAUCAUAUUUAACGGUGUGGAUCAUUAAUUUGAACACCCUAAGAUCGAAAACAAGACUAUAGUACCAGAGCUCCGGUACUAUAGAUAGUAUAGUA
This 624-nucleotide long non-coding RNA is filed under the name Ananas comosus (pineapple). RNAcentral's name for it is "long non-coding RNA (ACOM_LNC002960)". Lineage: Eukaryota; Viridiplantae; Streptophyta; Magnoliopsida; Poales; Bromeliaceae. The record is from RNAcentral.